CAAAAAGAAGUAGGGAUGGCGAGACGUGGAAACUGGCGUCAGGCAGUGUACUCCGUCAUCGAUCCAUAACUCCGUCACUGAAUGCCCACAAGGUCUUCCCGGCUGCGUUAGAUAACCAUGAUGGCGCUCUGCCGAAUAUAAUAGCUGAACGGUAGACUGGCUGCGUGGGUAUGGGGGCGAGUGUCGUAACGUGACGGAGACCAUGGUGGAGCCAGGUGCACCAUUUUGUUCCGUCACGUACCUGCACAUUGGUGCGGAUGCAGUGGUUGGAAGGCGCAGUGGAGAUGCUGCAACGGACGAGAUACCUGAAGCGAUUCGACUGUUGGAUGUAAUGGCGGAGAGGCAGCGUUUCAGAAUAGUACCAUUAAUGGUUUCAAUUUGUUGCUGGGGAGAGAAUGUAUCCGGAGUGCAGACACGGUGACUCAGAUUAGCGAUUGGUCGGUGGUCAUCGCAUUUACAGGAGCUGAUGCCCUUGACGACAAUGCAUGUGCCCUCGACCAACUAUCUAGUCACAACCGGCUGUUCCAGGUAUUUAUGAGUGUACGUGUGUUUUUGACGCCCAUUCUAAGCGGCAAUGCGGAGUACAGAGACGGUAGCGAUGAGACUGUCGGCAGGUGUGCGUAUGGAAGAGUUCCAGAAGAUGCGGCACAUGAACACUGGCAUUCGUUUCAAUCGUAUCGUACCAAAGCUGGCGAACUCGUGGGUCGCAACAGACAGCAUGGGCGCUUAAACGUUCGAUAUACACUGUACCGCAGGCGAUGUACUACGGCAUUUUUGGCGGCGUUGCGGCGUUACCGGACCGAGGGCACGGGUGCGGUCGUGUGCGGGUCACGCCGGCGGCCGCGGGGGUCGCCAGUACGGUCGACGAUGAAGUGGAUUCGUCAGGUUAUUGAUUGGAAGCUGGUUGCUUGCUCGUGUGGUCCGCCGCCUAUUGUUCGAUGUGUUUCACAUAUACUAUGUCAAUAGUCGCUCUGGGGCUCUUGGGAGGAGCGUACGGCGUUGCGAGCUUCUGACCUCGUCACCGGUCUAUCGAGGGGCCGGUCUUACCAUUCUCGCUGGAGGUCGUAGUUCUAUGUGAGUUGAUAGGGCUGCAAACCACGGUAGAUCUGUUCACUAUGAUGGCCUGACGCAGGAACCAUGUUCACGUGCAGUCUUGGAGUUUGAGAAGUUGUGUCAACGUUUUAAGCACGUUCCGGAUGGAUGAGCAACACGGGCUUGAGAAGGAUAUAGAUGUAGCGCGCACUGGCUAUUUACGAUGAGUCGUUACGCGUUGCGGUUGCGUUGUCAGGAGUACUUAUCCAUUCGCGUCGAUUGCUCGUUUUGACGGAAAGUUG
This 1334-nucleotide long non-coding RNA is filed under the name Toxoplasma gondii VEG. The record is from RNAcentral. Lineage: Eukaryota; Apicomplexa; Conoidasida; Eucoccidiorida; Sarcocystidae.